Molecule: ribosomal RNA, 296 nt
Filed under: uncultured bacterium
Lineage: Bacteria
Description: partial 16S ribosomal RNA
Source: RNAcentral
GGACUACCAGGGUAUCUAAUCCCAUUCGCUCCCCACGCUUUCGUCCUAGCAGUGUCAGGUGGCACCCAGAAGCCUGCCUUCGCUAUUGGUGUUCCGAACGAUAUCAACGCAUUUCACUACUACACCGUUCGUUCCAGCUUCCUCUUUGCCCCUCUAGCCUGGAAGUUUCGACUGACAGUUCCAAAGUUGAGCCUUGGAAUUUCACAGUCGACUUUCCAAACCACCGAUCGGUACGCUUUACGCCCAAUGAUUCCGGAUAACGCUUGAGGUCUCUGUAUUACCGCGGCGGCUGGCAC